This 231-nucleotide ribosomal RNA is filed under the name uncultured bacterium. RNAcentral's name for it is "partial 16S ribosomal RNA". It matches the Rfam family "Bacterial small subunit ribosomal RNA", at positions 15 to 228 of the family's 1533-position model. The record is from RNAcentral.
GAUCAUGGCUCAGGACGAACGCUGGCGGCGUGCUUAACACAUGCAAGUCGAACGAGAAUCUGAUGAGGGAGUUUUCGGACAACUGAUUCAGAGGACAGUGGCGGACGGGUGAGUAACGCGUGAGGAACCUGCCUUUCAGAGGGGGGACAACAGUUGGAAACGACUGCUAAUACCGCAUGAAGCGUAUUGAUCGCAUGGUCGAUACGCCAAAGAUUUAUCGCUGAAAGAUGG